Molecule: ribosomal RNA, 488 nt
Filed under: uncultured bacterium
Lineage: Bacteria
Description: partial 16S ribosomal RNA
Rfam family: Bacterial small subunit ribosomal RNA
Source: RNAcentral
UGAACGCUGGCGGCAGGCCUAACACAUGCAAGUCGAACGGUAACAGGCAGAAGCUUGCUUCUUUGCUGACGAGUGGCGGACGGGUGAGUAAUGUCUGGGAAACUACCUGAUGGAGGGGGAUAACUACUGGAAACGGUAGCUAAUACCGCAUAACGUCGCAAGACCAAAAAGGGGGACCUUCGGGCCUCUUGCCAUCGGAUGUGCCCAGAUGGGAUUAGCUAGUAGGUGGGGUAACGGCUCACCUAGGCGACGAUCCCUAGCUGGUCUGAGAGGAUGACCAGCCACACUGGAACUGAGACACGGUCCAGACUCCUACGGGAGGCAGCAGUGGGGAAUAUUGCACAAUGGGCGCAAGCCUGAUGCAGCCAUGCCGCGUGUAUGAAGAAGGCCUUCGGGUUGUAAAGUACUUUCAGCGGGGAGGAAGGGAGUAAAGUUAAUACCUUUGCUCAUUGACGUUACCCGCAGAAGAAGCACCGGCUAACUCCGUG